This 106-nucleotide ribosomal RNA is filed under the name Enterococcus lactis. RNAcentral's name for it is "partial 16S ribosomal RNA". It matches the Rfam family "Bacterial small subunit ribosomal RNA", at positions 1429 to 1533 of the family's 1533-position model. The record is from RNAcentral. Lineage: Bacteria; Bacillati; Bacillota; Bacilli; Lactobacillales; Enterococcaceae.
GGUGAGGUAACCUUUUUGGAGCCAGCCGCCUAAGGUGGGAUAGAUGAUUGGGGUGAAGUCGUAACAAGGUAGCCGUAUCGGAAGGUGCGGCUGGAUCACCUCCUUU